Molecule: long non-coding RNA, 647 nt
Filed under: Triticum aestivum (bread wheat)
Lineage: Eukaryota; Viridiplantae; Streptophyta; Magnoliopsida; Poales; Poaceae
Description: long non-coding RNA (TAES_LNC019913)
Source: RNAcentral
AUGCACAGGAAGAGCUUCAUGCGCAGGUAAAACAACCUCCUCAACCCUAGCAUCAUCAUCAACAGCCUAAAAAAAUCAUUUAGAAAACAAAUACCUAAUCAGCAGAAGUUCAGAUUGCACAAUCACAGAAGGUUAGCUAUCACAACUGACACAUAAUGGAAGUCCUGAUACAGUAAAAAUAGCAGGUCAGAUAUGAAACUACUCUAAGAUACAAGAGGGAACAAAAAAGGGUCAGUCAUCGAAGUCAUGGAAGUUCAGGUGCUGUAGCAGCUUAAGUUCAGGUUCAAUAAAUAGAUAAGGUCACCUAGGAACACUAGUGCUAAAAAGAAACAGUUUACGACACAUCAAAUCAACAACGCUCACCUAUGACCACAAACAGUAAUAACUUAAAGCUAACAUUUAACAUUGAACAUUAGUGCAAACCUCUUUGGUAUGCUCCACGUGACCUCCUUCACGACCCAAACGAACAGAAUCCUGCAUCUGAAUCUGUCUCACAACAACACUUGCCUCAUCUUCAAAAGGCUUGCAACGAGCAUCCUGCAUUUCCUUGAACAGCACAACACUACUCCGGAGGUGGGAAGUGGUCUGACGAAGCUCUUCAAGAAAUUUAGCUUCAGUACAUAAGACCUCCUUCGAAGACUCAGCAU